Nerophis ophidion (straightnose pipefish) is the source of this 831-nucleotide long non-coding RNA. RefSeq lists it as uncharacterized. NCBI's taxonomy places the organism in Eukaryota, Metazoa, Chordata, Actinopteri, Syngnathiformes, Syngnathidae. The record is from RefSeq and is a predicted model, not a curated record. The transcript has 4 exons.
GUGUCGUGUGUCGUGUGUCGUGUGUCGUGUGUCGUGUGUCGUGUGUCGUGUGUCCUGUGUCCUGUGUCGUGUGUCGUGUGUCGUGUGUCGUGUGUCGUGUGUCGUGUGUCGUGUGUCGUGUGUCGUGUGUCGUGUGUCAUGUGUCGUGUGUCCCGCCAGCUUGUCAUCACCACAAGUUCUUGGGCUGUUAUUGAGGUAGUUUGUUAAAUUUGAUAGUGUGUAUUUGCAACAUGGCGUCUACUAACCUUUACAUUUGACAAGACACAUCCAUCAAACAAGCACGCACCACGGAGGAAAACAUCAGCAGAAGAAGAUGAAAGCUAUGCUGGAGAUGGAGGGAGCUGCCAUGCAAGGCGCUAACCAGGACCCAUCUAUGGUGUGGUUUGUUUUCCCGUGGUGCAAAGCGUUUGGAACGGACAUGGCGUGAAGUGGAAGCAUCCGACGGUUGGGGGCGGCCGGUGGGACGAGGCAAGAGAGUUCGCAGCUGCCUCUUUGACAGGUGCAGGAGGAACGACGCAAGCUCUCCGCUCAUGUCUACGCCCGCUAACAGCCAAGGACUUCAAGGACCUCAACGAAGAUAACAUGACAGCAUGCAGACGAAGCAGAGACUUCAAGGACCUCAACGAAGAUAAGAUGACAACGCGCAGACAAGGCGAUAUUCCGUCACGUACCUUGCGUCCAGGACCUGCUUUGCAUAAUAUAUUUGACCCUUCCUUUUAGAGGCGGCCUCAGUGGUGUUGACUAUGGAACUCUGAAUAAAAAGAGGGAGGCGGGAGCUGAACCUUAGAGCGUAGGGCGAGACUGUGACUAAGUGUUCAGCGCAAUGCGUUC